CACGUAGGGGGCAAGCGUUGUCCGGAUUUAUUGGGCGUAAAGAGCUCGUAGGCGGCUCACUAAGUCGGGUGUGAAAUUUCGAGGCUCAACCUCGAAACGCCACCCGAUACUGGUGUGGCUAGAGUCCGGUAGGGGAGCGUGGAAUUCCUGGUGUAGCGGUGAAAUGCGCAGACAUCAGGAGGAACACCAGCGGCGAAGGCGGCGCUCUGGGCCGGUACUGACGCUGAGGAGCGAAAGCGUGGGGAUCAAACAGG
RNAcentral lists this ribosomal RNA (254 nucleotides) under uncultured bacterium. RNAcentral's name for it is "partial 16S ribosomal RNA". It matches the Rfam family "Bacterial small subunit ribosomal RNA", at positions 524 to 776 of the family's 1533-position model. The record is from RNAcentral.